GCUGAGCUCCGUACCAGACUUACACGGUUACAUCGAUAAGUCGCAGCUGACCGAGGACCUGGGCGGGACCCUGGACUACUGCCACUCCCGGUGGCUGUGCCAGCGCACGGCCAUCGAAAGUUUCGCCCUCAUGGUGAAGCAGACGGCUCAGAUGCUGCAGUCCUUCGGGACCGAGCUGGCCGAAACAGAGCUGCCCAAUGACGUCCAGUCGACAAGCUCAGUGCUGUGUGCUCACACAGAGAAGAAGGACAAGGCGAAGGAGGAUUUGAGGCUGGCACUAAAAGAGGGGCACAGUGUCCUGGAGAGCCUCAGGGAGCUGCAGGCUGAGGGCUCAGAGUCCAGUGUGAACCAGGACCAGCUUGACAACCAGGCCACCGUGCAGAGGCUCCUGGCCCAGCUGAACGAAACCGAGGCUGCCUUCGAUGAGUUCUGGGCAAAGCAUCAGCAGAAGCUGGAGCAGUGUCUGCAGCUCCGGCACUUUGAGCAGGGCUUCCGGGAGGUGAGUGUCCCUGGGUGGAGCCAGCAGCCGCCCUGAUGCCCACGGGGCCUCCUGUGCCUGUGCCCUGGUCCCAGUGCCAGGAGCUGAGCCGUGCCACCCAGUUGACUUUGGCUUAAUGCAGAAAAGUCUCCACUUGCCAGGUGGAGCCUGUGAGAUGAAGUCAGGCUGAGCCUUGAAAUGCACGAUUGAUGACUGCAUCAUUGUAUAGAAAGGUGAUUGAA
Molecule: small RNA, 720 nt
Filed under: Pongo abelii (Sumatran orangutan)
Lineage: Eukaryota; Metazoa; Chordata; Mammalia; Primates; Hominidae
Description: retained intron
Source: RNAcentral